UACGUAGGGGGCAAGCGUUGUCCGGAAUCAUUGGGCGUAAAGCGCGUGUAGGCGGCUAGGUAAGUCUGCUCUGAAAGCCCGGGGCUCAACCCCGGGAGGCGGGUGGAUACUGUCUAGCUCGAGUCCGGAAGAGGAGUGUGGAAUUCCUGGUGUAGCGGUGAAAUGCGCAGAUAUCAGGAGGAACACCAAUGGCGAAGGCAGCUCGCUGGGACGGUACUGACGCUGAGACGCGAAAGCGUGGGGAGCAAACAGG
RNAcentral lists this ribosomal RNA (253 nucleotides) under uncultured bacterium. Its description in RNAcentral is "partial 16S ribosomal RNA". It matches the Rfam family "Bacterial small subunit ribosomal RNA", at positions 524 to 776 of the family's 1533-position model. The record is from RNAcentral.